This 416-nucleotide ribosomal RNA is filed under the name uncultured Singulisphaera sp. RNAcentral describes it as "bacterial SSU rRNA". It matches the Rfam family "Bacterial small subunit ribosomal RNA", at positions 355 to 774 of the family's 1533-position model. The record is from RNAcentral. Lineage: Bacteria; Pseudomonadati; Planctomycetota; Planctomycetia; Isosphaerales; Isosphaeraceae.
UCGAGAAUCUUCGGCAAUGGGCGCAAGCCUGACCGAGCGACGCCGCGUGGAGGAUGAAGGCCUUCGGGUUGUAAACUCCUGUCGAGGGGGAAAAAGGCCCCGCAAGGGGCUUGAUUGAUCCCUGGAGGAAGCACGGGCUAAGUUCGUGCCAGCAGCCGCGGUAAGACGAACCGUGCGAACGUUAUUCGGAAUCACUGGGCUUAAAGCGCGUGUAGGCGGAUGAGCACGUCUGUCGCUGAAAUCCCCCGGCUCAACCGGGGAACGGGCGGAGAUACGGCUCAUCUGGAGGGGCGUAGGGGGACCUGGAACUUCCGGUGGAGCGGUGAAAUGCGUUGAGAUCGGAAGGAACGCCCGUGGCGAAAGCGAGGUCCUGGACGCCUACUGACGCUGAGACGCGAAAGCCAGGGGAGCGAACG